Long non-coding RNA from Anolis carolinensis (green anole), 12973 nucleotides. RefSeq lists it as uncharacterized. Lineage: Eukaryota; Metazoa; Chordata; Lepidosauria; Squamata; Anolidae. The transcript is spliced from 4 exons. The record is from RefSeq and is a predicted model, not a curated record.
GUGAUUCAGUUAAAAACCCAAAUGGCAUUGGGGCUUGGAUGCUUCAAGGACCAACUUCUAUCUCACUAACCUUGCUGAAAUUUAUAUUUAUCAGCAAUAUUUUGCCACCUUCUGAAAGAAGUUGGGUGGCAAACGAAGAAGAAGUUUCUAAAACAGCCUCAUCAGAAAGGUUUGCCUGGCACUAAAUUUCACAUCUUUUGGCUGGAAAGUCAAUAUUACCCUUUUUUAGGGUUUUCAGCAUGUUAGUACAGGAGUUUUUAACUACUGUACAUACUCAUGUAUAAGUCUAAACAAUUGACCACACAAAACCUGCAUCAACUUAGCCGUGGGUCCUUUUAAGUAUUGUAGCUUAACUGUUAUAAAAAUGAAACCAUCUCUGAGCACAGUGACAAAAAGUGAGCGCUUAGUCCAUCUUAGAAUUUAAAAUACCCACUGCCACAAAGUUCUUGGAUACAUUUUUCUAGCUGACCCGUUGAAAUCAGCCACCAUUUACCAUAUUUACUCACUAGAGGGAGGUAUUUCUAUAUGUGCUCAGCACUGAAGCAUCUUGUUCCAAAAAAGGAAGCCCUCUCGUUUUGGAUGAACAGGUAACAUUUACCUAGCCUACACACAACAAACUAUUUCUAACAACCAGAGCUUUUGAUUAUGUAAGAUUAUUUAAUAGACAAAAGGUUUCUUCAAAGCCUCCAAAGGUAAGUGAACUUUUUUUUUCAAACCUAGGCAAAUACGGCACAAACAGUUCAGAGUACAUGUCAACUGCAUUUAUUGCAGUCUGCUACUCUUACUCAUAAUUUCUGCAGUAAAUGUCAAUGAUUGGGCAUCAAAUAUUCUGCCAAAAAUGUCAGUUUGGGCUAUAUCCUAAUAACUUUUGUUGCACUGCAUGCCUAGCUAUGCCCAUGGGUAUUCAAAAAUAUUAACCAUUGUUCAAAUUCAGACAGGAAAUGUUCAUGAAACUGCAAGCAAAAAUAAUUACAGUAUAAGACACAGAGCUGUUCUGACUUGUAUGUAAUUACAUUAUUCCACAAGGAACACCAAAAAGAUAUAUUGUAUGAAGCAAAUCAUGUGAUUAACUUACUUGAUGUGGAAUAUUAUGGCCCUUUGAUUGCAAUGGACCUUUGUGGUUUGAAAGUAAUUAGUAAUUUUUGUUUUGCUUUGUUUUGUCCUCAGGCAGAGUAACAAAUUAGGUGACUUCCCUCUUCUUGACAUGGCAGGCAAUGAUACAUGGGACUAAUCUCACUGCAACAGAGUUUAGUGUUGCAACACUGAUAGUCAAAUACCCUGUAUUAAUAUAAUAAAUAAAGUACAGGUUAAGAGAGGUGAACUAGUAGCAGGUUCUGUUCAGUGUCCAUCUUACAUUGACAUCACUGGGGCAUACACUGGCUGGAAUCCUGUUCAACAUACUAUAUUACAUACUAGCUGUGCCCAGCCACACGUUGCUGUGGCGUUGUCUGGUGGUGUUGGUGAGAAAUUGUUGAGGUAGUGGUGGUAUUGAAUGUCUGUUGUAUGAUUGUCUUUAUGUUUAGUAUGCAUUUGGUUGUUUGUGUACUGUGAAAGUGGUGAGGGUAGAAGGGGUCUAUGUCCCUGUGUAGUAUUGUAUAGUAUUUAUACGUUGUCCAAGUGUUGUGAAUGCUUGGAUUGUGUCCUGCUGUAUAGUAGAAAGGGUUGGGCUGGAUGGCCCUUAGGGAUCUCUCCAAACUCUUGGAUUCUAUGCUAUUAUUAUUAUUAUUAUUAUUAUUAUUAUUAUUAUUAUUAUUAUUAUUAUUAUUAUCUUCAUCAUCAUUAUUAUGUAGAGGCUGGAUGGCCAUCUGUCAGGAGUGCUUGGUUUGUGUCGUCCUGCAUGGUAGAAGGAAGUUGAUCUGGAUGAUCCUUAGGGGUCACUCCAAACCUUAGGAUUGUAUUAUGUUGUUGUUAUUAUUAUUAUUAUUAUUAUUAGUAGUAGUAGUAGUACUAGCAGUAGUAGUAUUAGGCUGGGUGGCCAUCUUUCGGAGUUCUUGGAUUGUGUUCUGCAUGGCAGAAUUGGGUUGGACUGGAUGGUCUUUAGGGGUGUCUCCUAACUGUCUGAUGCUAUGAUUCGAUGUGUAUUAUUACUGUGCAGAUAUUGGAUGGGCAUCUGUCAGGAGUGGUUGGAUUGUGUCCUCCUGCAUGAUAUAAGGAAGUUGAACUGGAUGAUCCUUAGGGGUAUCUGCUAACCUUAGGAUUGUAUGAUAUUCUUAUUCUUCUUAUUAUUAUUAUUGAGAGGCUGGCUGGCCAUCUGUUGGGAGUGCUUGGGUUGUAUCGUCCAAUGGCAGAGUUGGGUUGGACUGGAUGGCCUUUAGGGGUCUCUCCUAACUGUCUGAUUCUAUGAUUUGAUUUGUAUUAUUACUGUGCAGAUCUUGGAUGGCCAUCUGUCAGGAGUGCUUGGUUUGUGUCGUCCUGCAUGGUAGAAGGAAGUUGAUCUGGAUGAUCCUUAGGGGUCACUCCAAACCUUAGGAUUGUAUUAUGUUGUUGUUAUUAUUAUUAUUAGUAGUAGUAGCAGUAGUAGUAUUAAGCUGGGUGGCCAUCUUUCGGGAGUUCUUGGAUUGUGUUCUGCAUGGCAGAAUUGGGUUGGACUGGAUGGUCUUUAGGGGUGUCUCCUAACUGUCUGAUGCUAUGAUUCGAUGUGUAUUAUUACUGUGCAGAUAUUGGAUGGGCAUCUGUCAGGAGUGGUUGGAUUGUGUCCUCCUGCAUGAUAUAAGGAAGUUGAACUGGAUGAUCCUUAGGGGUGUCUCCUAACCUUAUGAUUGUAUGAUAUUCUUAUUCUUAUUCUUAUUCUUAUUGAGAGCCUGAGUGGCCAUCUGUUGGGCAUGCUUGGAUUGCAGAAUUGGGUUGGACUGGAUUACCACAGUAAUUAUUUCAUAUUACAGUAAAAUCUCACUUAUCCAACAUUCGCUUAUCCAGUGUUCUGGAUUAUCCAUCGCAGUCUGCCUUUUAGUAGUCAAUAUUUUUGUAGUCAAUGUUUUAAAUUCAUUGUGAUAUUUUGGUGCUAAAUUUGUAAAUACAGUAAUUACAACAUAGCAUUACUGAGCAUUGAACUACUUUUUCUGUCAAAUUUGUUGUAUAACAUGAUGUUUGGUGCUUAAUUUGUAUAAUGAUUUCCUAAUUUGAUGUUUAAUCAGCUUUUCCUGAAUUCCUUCUUAUUAUCCAACAUAUUCACUUAUCCAACGUUCUGCCGGCCUGUUUAUGUUGGAUAAGUGAGACUCUACUGUAUAUUUAUAAUCUUAUAUUAUCUGCUUAGAACUGGAUUAUAUGAGGCUCCUUCUACACAGCUUCAUAAAAUGCACCCUGAAGUGAUUUAUCUGGCAGUGUGGACUCAAGAUAAUACAGUUCUAAGCAGAUAAUAUAAGAUUAUAAAUGGGUAAUAUAGCUGUGUGGAAGGGCCUUGAGUCUACACUGCCAUAUAAUCCAGUUAAACUCUGAUAAUCUGUAUCUUAUAGGCAGUGUGGAAGAGGUCUGAGGCCUAACUGUGCCUGUCCCCUGGCCUGAGUAGGUUGCUAGGAGACCAAGUGGGCAGAGUUUAGCCUUGUAACUGGCAGCAAUUGGAUAAGAAACAAUUGUUCCUUUCCCUCUAAUUAGGACUUUAUUUUUCUUUUCUUUUUGUUGUAUGAACGUAGAGGCAUGGAUGAGGGGUUGUGUUGCCAAGUUUAGUGUUUCUGGGAUGUGUAGUUUUGUUGUUUUGUCCUAGGCCGAAUUUUUUUUAUCUUUUUAUAUAUAUACUAGCUGUGCCCGGCCACGCGUUGCUGUGGCUUAGUCUGGUGGUGUUGGUCAGUCUACAUUAGGUUGUAUUUAUGCUGUGACCUCCACCCUUCUUUAUACUCACAUUAGUAGUAGUAUUUGAAGUCUGUUACCUUCUUCAAUUUUUGUGUUGAUUGAUAAUUGCUUGAGAUCCCUGUUGUCUUUGGUUUCUUGUUAGUUGUAAUGUCUGAUUCUGCUGAAUGCGGUUUAUAUUUUUAUUGUGGUACAAUAGUCUUUUUUUUGUUUUGCCUGUGUAGGUGUUUAUUAUUGUUGUUGUUGUUGUGGUCAUGAAGGUUGGAUAAGUUAGAUGCUACUGUAUUGUUUUUUGGAGGCCCAGUGUAGCACUGACUGGCCUCUCAGCCUCAGUGCCUGGCUGUUUCUUGCCUGUGAUGGUGUUGAUUCUUAUUGUUGUUGUUGUUGUCAUUGUUAUUAUUGUAAUUGUUUUUUUGGAAGCCAAGUGUGAAUGUAGGGAUUGGGGAGGUGGAUGAGUUGUGUUGUCAAAUUUUGUAUUUGUUAUAGUCACAAUGCGUUGUUGUGAGUUUUGUGGGUCCGGAUUGUGGUUUUGUGGUGUGGUUGUGUUGUUACAACUGAGAGGCAAGGCUUUUGUGUUGUGUUGCCAAGUUUUGUAUUUCUGGGGCGUUUAGUUGUGUGCCAAGUUUUGUAUUUCUGGGGCGUUUAGUUGUGUUGUUAUAGUCACGAUGCACUGUUGUGAGUUUUGUGGGUCCAGUGUGGUUUUGUGGUGUGGUUGUGUUGUUACAACUGGGAGGCAAGGCUUUUGCGUUGUCAAAUUUUGUAUUUCUGGGGCGUUUAGUUGUGUUAUAGUCACGAUGCAUUGUUGUGAGUUUUGUGGGUCCGGAUUGUGGUUUUGUGGUUUAGUUGUGUUGUUACAACCAGGAGAAAAGGCUUUUGUGUUGUGUAGUCAAGUUUUGUAUUUCUGGGGCAUUUAGUUGUGUGCCAAGUUUCGUAUUUCUGGGGCGUUUAGUUGUGUUGUUAUAGUCACGAUGCAUUGUUGUGAGUUUUGUGGGUCUGGAUUGUGGUUUUGUGGUGUGCUUGUGUUGUUACAACCGGGAGGCAAGGCUUUUGCGUCGUGUUGUCAAGUUUUAUAUUUCUGGGGCGUUUAGUUGUGUGCCAAGUUUCGUAUUUCUGGGGCGUUUAGUUGUGUUGUUAUAGUCACGAUGCAUUGUUGUGAGUUUUAUGGGUCUGGAUUGUGGUUUUGUGGUGUGGCUGUGUUGUUACAACCUGGAGGGAAGGCUUUUGCAUUGUGUUGCGAAGUUUCGUAUUUCUGGGGCGUUUAGUUGUGUUGUUAUAGUCACGAUGCGUUGUUGUGAGUUUUGUGGGUCCUGUGUGGUUUUGUGGUGUGGUUGUGUUGUUACAACUGGGAGGCAAGGCUUUUGCAUUGUGUUGCCAAAUUUUGUAUUUCUGGGGCGUUUAGUUGUGUUGUUAUCGCAUGAUGCGUUGUUGUGAGUUUUGUGGGUCUGGAUUGUGGUUUUGUGGUGUGGUUGUGUUGUUGUAACCUGGAGGCAAGCCUUUUGCAUUGUGUUGCCAAGUUUCGUAUUUCUGGGAUGUUUAGUUUUGUUGUUAUAGUCACUGCGCCCGCAACUUUAUCCUUUUAUAUAUAUAGAUAGAUUGUAUAUACUGAACUAUGUAGAAUUGGUGCUAAGAAACUCAUUCAUAAUGAGGCAAAAUGUUCCAUAAUUGUUGCUAUAAAUUUUAUCAGAUUCUCAAAGCUUGGAUGACUCCUCAGAGGGCUGUCUGGAGGUUUGUUGACAGAUGAAUGUGACCAUUCCUGCUCCAUUUUGUUGCUCUUUAGUCCUUCCGCUUGGGUUUUCCCCCCUUAUUUAAAAUAGGCAUUAUUUUUGCUGCCAACAUUUUCCAAUAAAACAAGUCUAAGUCAUCUUAUGACCACCAGGUUGAAACCAGCUAGUCAGCCCCAAGUGACAACCCAACAGGGGUUCAUAAGCCUUCGCUUCCAUUUUAUGCUGGAAGCUGAAAGAUUAGGAAAACUCAGGGCAGUGGUCCAAAAAUAGCUAAGCUGCAUUUGGCUUUGUGGGCUUGGAGCUUGAAAAUAAAAUAAUCUGGGUGAUCACAUUAUAUUUCAUAUCUUUCUUCACUCUUAGAAGUGAUUUAUUUCUUGUGAAACAGAGGGAAACCUCCUGCAGUGUAGCACCCACAUUGUGGAUUGAGCAUGUCGGCUUCCAAUAUCAGAUGUUUCAACAACUGAAGCCAUCUUUGUUUGUCCAGACAUUUUAAUGGUUAACUUUGGCUAUUAUCCAUAGGGCUUCUCAUAAUUAUAAUGAAAUGCUUAUCUUUUUAUUGUAUUGUUUUAAACAUGUUGCAAUUCUUGAGUCUUAUUAUUGCAAAAUACUUUUUAAUGCAUCAUAUAAAUAUGUUCAACAAGAACAAUUCUACAUUAUGGCCUCUUUGCAAAUAUGAGAAUCUGGUUUGCACAGGAUAUGCUCAAUCUGAGGGCGUAUUACUCAGUGGUCAGAAAGGUCAUCACUUGAAAAUACAGCAUAUGUUUUGAAUGUAAAAGGUUCCCAGUUCAACCACAGGCAUCUUCAGCUAAAAGAGCCUGGUGGCAAGGCGUGGGUGAGACCUUUCUUCCAAAGACCUCAAGCAACUAUUGUCAAUCAAAGUCAACAAACACAAGGCUGGCUGGACAAAUAGUUUAACCUGGUUUACUACAAUAUUUUUUGGGGGGAGGGGGGUUAUCUCUUCUUUCAAACAAAAAAGCAACCAACCUAAGCAUUUCCUCAUUGGCUCAAUUAUUCAAUGUGGAAAGGAGAAAUGAGUCUAUACUAUCCUAUCAUCGUCAUUAUUUUCACCCUCUGACAUUAUCAGCAUUGCCUUUGUAUACACAGGAUUAGUACUUCUGGCAUUUCCUCAGUGCUGAUCAUUUCUGACAAGUGUCCAUGCCUCUAGCAGCUGUGUGAUGGACAGAAAUUUGACAGGUAUGGCUUUCUCCUCAUAGUAUCUCUGUGCCAUGGACAAAAGACCAUUCUAUCAGUCACACUACUAAGUCUACAGGAACCCUCCAAGGGUCUCAGUCAUGCUGUGACACACAAUGAUGUCCAAGGGUGUGUAGCAAGAAUACCCUCAGGUUCUCAGCUUGUAUAAAUAAUAAUAGUUGGCCUAGGAUUCACUUGCUUCAGGCAUCAGGAAAAUAAGUGCUCAGUUCCCAUUCCAAGUAGAUGAUUCCUGUUUAAAGCAAAAAAAAAAACCCAACCCUAGAUAUAUUUAUAUAUUUAGUAUUCACUUUGAACAUAUUCUGUACCUCUCAAAGUGGAGGUCAUCCCAUACAACCUUUAAUUUAUCUUUGUGGAUUUUGUGAAAUGCUUUACUGUACAAUGGUGAAUCCCUAAUUUUUGUGAAUGUUUUUAAAGUAAUUAUCUGGAUCUUGGUUUGGGUUGAAUUUGGUGUGUGUGUGUGUGUGUUUUUAAAAAAAUCUGCUUUUUUUGUCGUACUUAGAAAUGCAUCUUAUGGCACUCAGUGUGAAUUAUUCAAAACUAAGUGUGUAUGAGAUUGUAGCCAUUUGAUUCUAUUUGCUUCUGGCUUCAUUUGUUGUGUUAUUUAGUUUGAAGAUUUUAGUUCUGUUAGUUCUAAUUUUUUAUAAGCUAUUUAGGUAGGAACAAGAUGACUUUUAAGACUGAAAAGCAGGUUGUCUAUGUAUCAUAUGUGUGUAUGCAUGCAUUUAUGCAUAUGUGUAUAUGUGUGUGUGAAUAGAAGGCUUUUUCUUCUUAUUUUGGUACCUAGAUGUCUGCAUCUGUUAGGUGCAGAAGCUGAAGAGAUCAAGAAAAGGUGGCGAGAAUAUACAGAUCUGUAUAGGAAGAAUAAUAAUAUAGAGGAUAGCUUUGACGGUGUGGUGAGUGAAUUAGAACCAGACAUCCUGAGGAGUGAGGUUGAAUGGGCCUUAAGAAGCAUUGCUAACAAAAACGCAGCAGGAGACGAUGGGAUCCCAGCUGAGCUGUUUAAAAUCUUGGAAGAUUCAAGAUCCAGCACUCUUUGACAGGGAAGGCUAAAAACCUUGUAAAACUACAAAAAUGAUGAUUCCAUAGCAUUGGACCAUGGCAGUUAAAAUGGUGCCAAGAUGAUAUCAGCAGGGAUGAUCAGCAGCAGAGUUCCUUUCAUUAAUGCUGAUGCAGGAGGACUGGCAGGCGAAAGCUCCCCACAGAAGCCCCUGGGUCAUCCCCCGCCUUUCCAAACAGGAAGAAUGGAGGACAAGCUGACAGAGAAAGGUGAUGAUGUGACAUCUGACCAGGACUUGGAUCAAUCACCAGGGAAGAAGAAGAGGCAGUUGCUGUGGAAGUAAAAUAUUUGCUUGCAGGGAUAGAGUCUAGCUCAUGAAUCCAUACUUCUGCACUGCUUCCAGGAAUGAUCUCUGACUUGCAGCCAAAGUUUUGUCUGCAGAGAUAGAGAACAACCACUGAUUCUAUAUUGCUUGUGAUGUAAUCCAAUAUUGUUGCACCCAUGACUGAUGCUUCUAGUUUGCAGUCUGCAUCUUGAGACAUAAGGCUAACAGCAGAUCCAUUGAUUUGGGGAGUUUUUAUCCUCUCAUCUCAAUAUUUUUGUACAUCUUAGGGACUUUAAUAUACAACCCUUUUGUUUUUACAUAUUGACCACAAGACUGCUUUCCCUUUUAUUUGCUCCUAGCCAUAGCUAAGUGAUCACACAAUCCAAAAGUGCAUGUAACCUACUCUUUUUCCUCAAGUGCUUCCCAAUGUGGAGAUGGCUAACAUAGACCUGCACUAUGUUGCUAAAAGCAAGGCAAAAAUACUUAUAGCAUUAGAUAGACCAUAUAUCUUCAUGUAUAAGUCGACUUCAUGUAUAAGUUGAGGACAGGUUUUUGGGUCACAAUUAUAAAUUUUGAUAUGAUCCAUGGAUAAUGAUGCUGGGGGAAAUAGAAGGAAAAAGGAAAAGGGGCCAACCAAGGGCAAGAUGGAUGGAUGGUAUCCUUGAAGCGACUAGCUUCACCUUGAAGGAGCUGGAGGUGGCGACGGUUGACAGGGUGCUCUGGUGUGGGAUGGUUCAUGAGGUCACAAAAAGUCAGAAGUGACUGAACGAAUAAACAACAACAUGAUUCUUGGAUAAGUUGAUGACCAUUUGGUGUGGCAGGGAAAGCACCAUUGCUGCCUCUACACAGAAUGGAAGAGUAAUGGACACAACACUCAUUACAUGCACUGGUGUGCAAUGGGACCAGUAUGUAUUGGCCCUAUUAUGCAUAAGUCUUACUGUGUUACCUUGCUGCUCCUGCUACAUAAUAAUGCAACCAUCGUUAGUGGGGUUUGCAGUGGUCCCUGGGUGUGGGUGAACUGCAACUCCCAUUACCCCAGGUCGGUUCCCUCUCCCCCCCCCCCCCCCCUCAAAAUAAAACUGCACCAGUACAUAAAGUUGGUCAUGAGGGGCAUGUGUGCCAGGUUUAUUCCAGAUCCUUCAUCAGUGGGGUGCACAGUGCUCUCUGGACGUUCUCCCUGAAUGUGAGGUGAACUGCAAUUCCCAUAAUCCAGGGUCAAUUCCCCCUCCCUCAUCCUCUCCAGUAUUUUCUGUUGGCCAUAGAGGGGUUCCGUAUGGCAAAUUUGGCCCAGGUCCAUUGUUUGCAGAAGUCACAGGAGUCUCUGGAAGUAGGAGCCAUCUUGAAAAAUACAUACAUACAUGCAUAUUUUCAUUUCUAUAUGUAUAGAUCUGGAUUUAUAUAGAGAGAUCUGGAUUUCAUAUUAUUAAAUGGACAAAGAAAAUAUAUAUUGCAGAUAAUAAUAUAUAAACAAGGGAAAAAGUGUUUCUAAUUACAUCAAUCUUCCUGACAGAAGGUUUCCCCAAGCUGAAGCAGUUGCAAUCUAGUAUAGCUGUAUGAAACUUUUGUUAUAUUGCAUCAACAAAAGCUUUUACUUCAAAAUUAACAAUAGAAAGAGUGAGACAGUUAAUGAAGGGACAGCAUUAGUUCUUGCCAUUAAUCCUCAGCACUGGAGAAACAAUUAGGCAGGAACACUGUAGAUCCAUAAUGUCAUAUAUUGUGGGUACAGUGACAUUUCUUUUGCUGGUGGAAAUCUGGAGGAGAUCUAAGUCUCCCAGGGCCAGCUGAUUCAUUGAAAGGAAAAAAAAGAAGUGGGUAAUGGAGGCACCAGCUGCCUCUGAAAGCAGUUCUAGGAUGAAAUGAACAGAUGUGUGGGUGACAAUAUAGGGGCAUCCAGUACAGUUUAAUUUCAGCCUGCUCUGGAAGAAUGCAAAAAAAAAAUUAUAGUAAUUUGUCCAAAUAUACUGGCAAGGGCGGUAUAGAAGUCUCAGGAACACAGAAGCUUGCAGAUAGAAAAGAUACUUUGCGAAACUCAUGCACCGAGUUUCUGUCUAACCCAGUGGUUCUCAACUUGUGAGUCCCCAGAUGUUUUGGCCUUCAACUCCUAGACAUCCUAACAGCUGGUAAACUGGCUGGGAUUUCUGGGAGUUAUUGGCCAAAACACCUGGGGUUGCAGUAAACAAUACAGAGAAGGGAUUCCCCAAAGUACAAAGGCAAGAGGCCACUACAAACAGAAAUAUAAUCCAAUAAUAUAAAUCAUAAGACAGUUUUUCAUGUGUGUGUGUGUGUGUGUAUGCUAUAGUCAUGGAAUAUUUAAUGUGCAGACAAGGAUUGUGGGGACCCACAGGUUGAGAACCACUGUCUAACCUCAAGCCAGUGCAUAGAACAAAUUCAUAAGUAUUUGUAUCUGUCUGGUCUGUGAAAGUUUCAUACGACUUUGGUUACAGUACUUAAAGUUGACGUAUAGCACAAUGCUGUGAAGGUUUAGACAAGAGUAAGAUGUAAACAUUAGGCAUGUGCGAAUUAAUCAGAAUCGUCGUAAAUCGGAUUAAAAACGUAUUUUAUCCGAUUUGCGAAUGGGAUUCCAACUCGCAUUAUCGCUUUGGAAAAAACCCAUGAUUUUGAAGCUUUGGAGCCCAAUCAUUCAAUGGGCUCGGAAACAUGUUCAGAAAUAUGAGGAAGGAUUUUGAAUACAACCAAACUUGAUUUUCAGGGAGAAGCAGCCUAGCCUGGACUUGCCUCCUUGACCAAUCAUUUUGCACCUUCAUGCAAGGGGAGGGGUUUUGACGUCCUCCCUGAAAAGCGCCCCAUGCAAGCCACGAGGCUCAUUCUGGGCUGGGAGGCUGGAGGGAGAGGUUGGCUGCGGCUGCUGACUGGUCUUUCCUUUUGCUGCCUGACUCACAGAUUGCCUGCCUGGCCUGUUGUUGUGGGGCAGCCACUGAAGGAAGAACUUAAUCAAGAAAAAAGGGGAGGGAAAGGGAGUAAUUUUUUUCUUUUAAAAUUCUAAAAUAAAGAAGCAAAAGAAGUAACGUUUUAUUUUUGAGAAAAAAUGUGGGAGUAGGGAGGGCAAAACUUACUUCAAGUAUCUGAUGUAUUUUAUUUUAAAAUCAAGCAAGCAGCUAGAAGAAGCUUUUAUUUUUUGGAUAAUAAAGUGGGGGUGGUAUCUUGGUACUAGGGGGAAAGGCUUAUUUUAUAUUUAUUUGUUUGACCUCAAGGCACUGCAUGUCCCAUCACUCACAGAAUCCCUCUCUGCUGGGUGCUCUAAGUCUGGAGAACCCGGCCAAGUUACAUUGGUGAAUCCUUUGGGUUCAACCAAGGCCUUGCCUCUCUUGCUUUGUGUGUUUGUUUGAUUGACCUCCUCAAGGCAUUGCAUGUCCCAUCACUCAUAGAAUCCCUCUCUUCUAGGUGCUCUAAGUCUGGGGAACCCAGCCAAGUUACAUUGGUGAAUCCUUUGGGUUCAACCAAGGCCCUGCGUCUCUUGUUUUGUGUGUUUGAUUGGCCUCAAGGCACUGCGUGUCCCAUCACUCACAGAAUCCCUCUCUGUCGGGUGCUCUAAGUCUGGGGAACCCAGCCAAGUUACAUUGGUGAAUCCUUUGGGUUCAACUAAGGCCCUGCGUCUCUUGUUUUGUGUGUUUGAUUGGCCUCAAGGCAUUGUGUGUCCCAUCACUCACAGAAUCCCUCUCUGCUGGAGUGGAUUCCCUAAGUCUGGGGAUCCCAGCCACGUUACACAUAGCUGAAUCCUUCUUUGGGUUCAAGCCCUCAGGGUUCAAGUAACAAACUCUCUUCCCCCAAAAGCCAUAUGAAAUGGGAAAUAAUACUUUCAAACCAGGAACAGAUUUCCUUAACCUGAGGCCGAUGAGCAUCUGUCGGGAGUGGUUUGAUGAUGUGCUAUGAUUUCUGUUCCUGGUUGGUAACUGUCACUCCCUAAUUGGUUCUGUCACAAAAACAUGUCAAAACUUUAUUACACUGCUAGAACUUUGUCUUUGCGCAAGGGACAUUGUGCUAUGAUAGCACAUUAUGGUUUGCUGGGUGUCCACUGUCCACCAAUUUAACAGAGUUUCAACCACAGAAACAGAGUUUCCAAAGUAGAACAAUGACUUUCAAAGUAAAUACAACCCAAUGAAAAAGGAAAUAAAAUUUCAAACCAGGAACAAAUUUCUGCAAUUAUUAAAAAUGGUUUUGUAUAUAAACUAUGAAAAUUUGCCAAAAAUCAGAGGAUAAGGGAAACGUUCUGAAAUUUGGUGAGCUAACGGUGGUAAAUGGGUUCUACCACUAUAGCAAGUUUCAUCAGGAUAAUUCAAAAAUGUGAGUGGGAAAGUCCUCUAAAGUCCCCCCCUCCAGUGCGGUUUUUCGCUAUUGCUCAUGCAAAUCUGCCAUUAAUGAAUUAAUUACAAAUAGUCCGAAUUUUUGGAAAGUUUUGAAUUUUUUGCUUCAAAAUUCAGAAAAGACUUUAGAAACGAAGCGCUAGCACCCCCUACUUUUGAACUGAGUUUAGAACCAUUUUUUUCCUGGAUCGCACAUGCCUAGUAAAUAUCAUUGUACAUGCUUGACUCUCCCUUAAAAAUCUGGAACUGCAAUAAAUUGAAGCAAUCCUCCCAUUAAGUCAAAACGACAAAGAGUACAGUACAACAUAAUCUGAGAAUAGCAAGUUUUGUUCUGCAUACAUUUUGGUCAACUUUAGGCACCCUACACAAGAUAAUGUUAAUGAUGAUACAAUACAUUUUGGAGUAACAUGGGGGUAAUAACAUUAUUGUUGAAAAAUACUGUAAUUACUCAUGAGAUUUUUAAAAACUUUUUUAUAACAAAUAGUUUACUCCAGUAGUUCUCAACCUGCGGGUCCUCAGAUGUUUUGGCCUUCAACUUCCAAAGAUCCUAACAGCUGGUAAACUGGCCGGGAUUUCUGGGAGUUGUAGGCCAAAACACCUGGAGACCCAC